GAGGACGAAAUAAAUCGCAUAAUCAGAUAAGGCUGCUCCUUGUGCACCGCCUCCCCGUAGUCCCAGUGUCCCCAAACGCCCCACAGGUCGUCGUCGUCCUCCUCCUCCUCCUCCUCCUCCCCGUCCUCGUCUUCCUUGUGAGCUAUCCCAUCUAUUACAUCUCGACCAUCGCCUCAAUCCCUUCAAAGACAGACCAGCCACAUCUCUUUGUCCUUCGAUCACUUGAUGCUCAUCUGAGGCAUGGAUCGGAUCAUCGGUGGGAAGUACAAGCUAGGUCGGAAGAUUGGGAGCGGAUCUUUCGGGGAGAUCUACCUAGCUACGCAUGUUGACUCUUUCGAGAUCGUCGCCGUCAAGAUCGAGAAUAGCAAGACGAAGCACCCACAGCUGCUUUAUGAGGCCAAACUCUACAACAUUCUGCAGGGAGGAAGUGGUAUUCCAAACACAAAAUGGUGUGGUUUGGAUGGGGAAGACAAUGCACUUGUUCUUGACCUGCUUGGUCCCAGUCUUGAGGAUUUGUUUGUCUAUUGUGGAAGGAAAUUUUCUUUGAAAACAGUUUUAAUGUUGGCCGAUCAGAUGAUUACUAGAAUAGAGUAUGUGCACUCAAAAGGCUUUUUACAUAGGGACAUCAAGCCUGAUAACUUUCUUAUGGGGCUUGGUCGGAAAGCAAACCAGGUGUAUAUAAUUGAUUUUGGGCUUGCAAAAAGAUAUAGAGAUGCUACUACUAACCGCCAUAUACCAUACAGAGAAAAUAAAAAUUUAACUGGGACUGCUCGAUAUGCAAGUUGCAACACCCAUUGGGGCAUUGAACAAAGCCGUAGGGAUGAUUUGGAAUCACUGGGCUAUGUUCUUCUAUAUUUCCUACGGGGAAGCCUUCCAUGGCAGGGCCUAAAAGCUGCAACAAAGAAGCAGAAAUACGAUAAGAUAUGUGAGAAGAAGCUUUCAACUCCUAUUGAAGUUUUGUGCAAAUCACAUCCCGUGGAAUUUGCAUCUUACUUCCACUAUUGUCACUCUUUGACAUUUGAUCAACGGCCGGAUUAUGGAUUUUUGAAGCGCCUUUUUCGGGAUUUGUUUAGCCGAGAUGGAUAUGAGUUUGACUAUAUAUUUGACUGGACAAUUCUAAAAUAUCAGCAAGCUAAUAAGACAAAGCCUCAACCUCGAUUUUCUCCAGUUUCUGGUGGUACAAGCGCUAGAGCUACCCCCAUGGAUGUUGACAAGCGUCAAGUUUCCGGUGCUGGUGAUUGUGAAGAAGACGUUACCGAGAGAGUAGGACCAAGUAAUGUCACAAGGCCAACUGUUCGAAUGCAGUUUAAACCUGCAGGUGAUAAGAAUUUGGCUUCCGAUAGUCAACGGCUUGGUAAGCUGAGAGUAGGCACAGGCGCUGACAAGCUUCACAUGUCAUCCACUUCGUUUGCGCUUCCCAGCAUUUCAAAGAAGAAUGUUGUAGGCUCCAAUCCAUCCGCCACAACUGAUGCUUCUCAUGUUGCUCGUGUUUCUGGUGGCAAUUCCGGAUCUUCAAGCAGCUGGCUUCCUCCAUUGCAGCGGAACGCUUCAGCCAAAUGAUAGCAUGAUCUGCAAAAAAUACAAGGUCAAGUUCCUGUAUUUCCAUUAAGGUCACCGCAGACUCAUUGGAUGCCAUAUGAAGAUCUUUACAAUGGUUGACUUGUGUGGAAAAUGCUUCAGUUUCCACUACUAUUUAUGCUUCUUCUUCAGUUUAACUUGGAUGAAAUGAUAACCAAGUUUUUUUUUUUUUAAAUUUCACUUCUCAACAUAGCCCAUGGCUCCUCUUGUGCCUGUCUUAUGGCUUGUAAAAUUUUCUAUUUUGUACGUUUUGUUUCAGGUUGAAAGGCUUGUACAUUUAUUCUUGUAAUACUUGUUUCAGAGCUCUAGAGAUGGUCGUCUGCACCAAUUUUAGCAUUAUUAGGUACUCCUCUAAAUAGAGCCAACACUAAGUGCUUCCAUUUCUAUUUUCUGUGCUGCUCAUGUUUAUUGAACUUUUGUCAGAGAAAGGUGCUGUAAUGGAAGAAUGGUGGAAGGUAAUGCAAGUAAUUAUUGAACAUAAAUAAUGUUAUGCUUAUCUUUGUGAUGAUUAUGAAUUAGGGUUUCUGUUUAGGAGAGUAGUUUUGGUUGGAAAUUAUAUAUUUUUAAGCUCUGCUGGCAAUUUUUGCAUUA
This is an RNA transcript of Dendrobium catenatum, 2169 nucleotides long. It is a transcript of the gene named casein kinase 1-like protein 4, with no coding region annotated. Lineage: Eukaryota; Viridiplantae; Streptophyta; Magnoliopsida; Asparagales; Orchidaceae. The record is from RefSeq and is a predicted model, not a curated record. The transcript is spliced from 16 exons.